Molecule: ribosomal RNA, 497 nt
Filed under: uncultured bacterium
Lineage: Bacteria
Description: partial 16S ribosomal RNA
Rfam family: Bacterial small subunit ribosomal RNA
Source: RNAcentral
GACGAACGCUGGCGGCGUGCCUAAUACAUGCAAGUUGAGCGCUGAAGGUUGGUACUUGUACCAACUGGAUGAGCAGCGAACGGGUGAGUAACGCGUGGGGAAUCUGCCUUUGAGCGGGGGACAACAUUUGGAAACGAAUGCUAAUACCGCAUAAAAACUUUAAACACAAGUUUUAAGUUUGAAAGAUGCAAUUGCAUCACUCAAAGAUGAUCCCGCGUUGUAUUAGCUAGUUGGUGAGGUAAAGGCUCACCAAGGCGAUGAUACAUAGCCGACCUGAGAGGGUGAUCGGCCACAUUGGGACUGAGACACGGCCCAAACUCCUACGGGAGGCAGCAGUAGGGAAUCUUCGGCAAUGGACGAAAGUCUGACCGGGCAACGCCGCGUGAGUGAAGAAGGUUUUCGGAUCGUAAAACUCUGUUGGUAGAGAAGAACGUUGGUGAGAGUGGAAAGCUCAUCAAGUGACGGUAACUACCCAGAAAGGGACGGCUAACUACGUG